RNAcentral lists this long non-coding RNA (782 nucleotides) under Malus domestica (apple). RNAcentral's name for it is "long non-coding RNA (MDOM_LNC009820)". Lineage: Eukaryota; Viridiplantae; Streptophyta; Magnoliopsida; Rosales; Rosaceae. The record is from RNAcentral.
CGAUCGUUGGAUCGUUGUACAAUUUUGUGAGCACCCUAGUUAUCAGUUGUUGGACCUUUGAGAACUUACAGAUCAGAAAUCUGAUAUGCGGAUCUUCUGAAUUGAAUAACCUUAGAUUAUUGACCUUAAUGAACCUACCCUAUCAACGAUUGACGUCCUAGUCAACGUGCUCUACUCAAGAGUGUCGUUUAUCUCUAGUUUGUUGAUGAGGCUUGAUGGAGCUUAGUUGGCUCAUCAUGAUGAUGUGUCGUUCCCAGUUGACGUGUCUCGAUAUAUGUAUUAGUGGCACCAUAUUGAGUUAUACUUGUUUAUUAAAUGUGUUUUCUAUUGAAUUGUUAUUUUUAUUUUUAGCAUCAAUCAAUGUUUAUUAAUUGUAAUUCGACUGUAACUUGGAAACAUUUAUGAAAUGUGGUUAGAUAUGUAUGAUUAGUAUGAUUGUUUUUUAUGACGAUGUGAACCCAGAAUCUUAUGAGAAGUAUUAUAUUUAGGGGUGAUCAUGCUUGUUUUUUAUGACGAUGUGAACCAAGAAUCUUAUGUGAACCCAACAUCUUAUGUUUGUAUAAUAAGAUAGUUAGUGGUCAUGAGAAGUUGAUAGUGCAAGUGAUUACGAUGUAAAUCAUAGCGGAUGAGAUAAGGGUAAGUGGUUUGUGUGUUGAUUUAACUGCACCAUGUAGUAGUGGUACAUGAAUGGUCCUGCUUGGUUAAUCUGCGUUGGGGGACCAUACAAUUUUUGGAUCGUGCUUGGUUAAUUCGCGUUGGGCGAUCCUUAUGGCCAUUUAUAU